AGGACAAACGCUGGCGGCGUGCGUAACACAUGCAAGUCGAACGCUCUGGUCUCUUUCGGGAGGGCAGGGAGUGGCGGACGGGUGAGGAACACAUGGGUAUCUACCUCCGGGUGGGGGAUACCGGCGAGAAAUCGCCGACAAGACCGCAUAGCCCUCUCUGGUGAGAGCCAGAGAAGGAAAGCUUCGCAAGAGGCGCUGGAGGAGGGGCCUGCGUCCGAUUAGCUAGUUGGUGGGUAAGAGCCUACCAAGGCGUCGAUCGGUAGCUGGUCUGAGAGGACGAUCAGCCACACUGGGAUUGAGAACGGCCCAGACUCCUACGGGGGGCAGCAGUGAGGAAUUUUCGGCAAUGGGGGAAACCCUGACCGAGCAACGCCGCGUGCAGGAAGACGGCCUUCGGGUUGUAAACUGCUUUUCUUUGGGACGAGCAAGGACGGUACCAGAGGAAUCAGCCCCGGCUCACUACGUGCCAGCAGCCGC
This 477-nucleotide ribosomal RNA is filed under the name uncultured bacterium. RNAcentral describes it as "SSU rRNA". It matches the Rfam family "Bacterial small subunit ribosomal RNA", at positions 26 to 518 of the family's 1533-position model. The record is from RNAcentral.